Molecule: unclassified non-coding RNA, 183 nt
Filed under: rhizosphere metagenome
Description: partial ribosomal RNA internal transcribed spacer region
Source: RNAcentral
GUUGGUGAACCAGCGGAGGGAUCAUUACAGAGUUGCAAAACUCCCAAACCAUUGUGAACUUACCUACCCCGUUGCUUCGGGGGGCGCCGGGCGCGGGUAAAACAAACCCUUGAAUUGCAUGGCCUCUCUGAGUCUUCUGUACUGAAUAAGUCAAAACUUUCAACAACGGAUCUCUUGGUUCUG